AGCGAACGCUGGCGGUAGGCCUAACACAUGCAAGUCGAACGGCAGCACAGGAGAGCUCGCUCUCUGGGUGGCGAGUGGCGGACGGGUGAGGAAUACAUCGGAGCCUACUCUGUCGUGGGGGAUAACGUAGGGAAACUUACGCUAAUACCGCAUACGACCUACGGGUGAAAGCAGGGGACCUUCGGGCCUUGCGCGAUUGAAUGAGCCGAUGUCGGAUUAGCUAGUUGGCGGGGUAAAGGCCCACCAAGGCGACGAUCCGUAGCUGGUCUGAGAGGAUGAUCAGCCACACUGGAACUGAGACACGGUCCAGACUCCUACGGGAGGCAGCAGUGGGGAAUAUUGGACAAUGGGCGCAAGCCUGAUCCAGCCAUACCGCGUGGGUGAAGAAGGCCUUCGGGUUGUAAAGCCCUUUUGUUGGGAAAGAAAUCCAGCUGGCUAAUACCCGGUUGGGAUGACGGUACCCAAAGAAUAAGCACCGGCUAACUUCGUGCCAGCCGCCGCGGUAA
Molecule: ribosomal RNA, 506 nt
Filed under: uncultured bacterium
Lineage: Bacteria
Description: partial 16S ribosomal RNA
Rfam family: Bacterial small subunit ribosomal RNA
Source: RNAcentral